AAGUCGUAACAAGGUUUCCGUAGGUGAACCUGCGGAAGGAUCAUUAAAAAAUUAAUGAAUUGUCGGGGGCGCGCGCGAACGCGCGGAGGGUUGCUUUUUUUUUUCCCUCUGACCGUCCGCCGUCUUUCCCGUGUAUUCAAACCAACCCGCUCUUGUAUUUGUAUCAACCAAAAAAAUAAAUAAAUUAAAAAAAUAACAAUGUAAAAAAACUUUCAACAACGGAUCUCUUGGCUCUC
Molecule: unclassified non-coding RNA, 236 nt
Filed under: fungal sp.
Lineage: Eukaryota; Fungi
Description: partial internal transcribed spacer region
Rfam family: Eukaryotic small subunit ribosomal RNA (bases 1-46)
Source: RNAcentral